Molecule: ribosomal RNA, 449 nt
Filed under: uncultured Bifidobacterium sp.
Lineage: Bacteria; Bacillati; Actinomycetota; Actinomycetes; Bifidobacteriales; Bifidobacteriaceae
Description: bacterial SSU rRNA
Rfam family: Bacterial small subunit ribosomal RNA
Source: RNAcentral
CUCCAGUUGAUCGCAUGGUCUUCUGGGAAAGCUUUCGCGGUAUGGGAUGGGGUCGCGUCCUAUCAGCUUGACGGCGGGGUAACGGCCCACCGUGGCUUCGACGGGUAGCCGGCCUGAGAGGGCGACCGGCCACAUUGGGACUGAGAUACGGCCCAGACUCCUACGGGAGGCAGCAGUGGGGAAUAUUGCACAAUGGGCGCAAGCCUGAUGCAGCGACGCCGCGUGAGGGAUGGAGGCCUUCGGGUUGUAAACCUCUUUUAUCGGGGAGCAAGCGAGAGUGAGUUUACCCGUUGAAUAAGCACCGGCUAACAACGCGCCAGCAGCCGCGGUAAUACGUAGGGUGCAAGCGUUAUCCGGAAUUAUUGGGCGUAAAGGGCUCGUAGGCGGUUCGUCGCGUCCGGUGUGAAAGUCCAUCGCUUAACGGUGGAUCCGCGCCGGGUACGGGCGGG